AUGCAUGUCGGUACGAUCAUGGAGUCGAAUGAUGCGACUUUCUUUGAAGAUAUCUUUCCCAUGAAGGAUAUGGCUACCUCAUCUAAUCAGGAGAUGCCUAGUUCAUCGAAUCAGGAACCAGUUACAAUUACCGAACCUGCCAUUUCGAUGGAACACUUUGAAAAUCCCGUGGAGGAGAACAAUGAAGUUCCUAUUAGGAGCAAGAGACAGAGGACUGCAAAGUCCUUUGGUGAUGAUUUUCUUGUUUAUCUCAUAGAUGACACUCCCAGUUCUAUUUCAGAGGCUUAUGCAUCUCAAGAUGCUGACUACUGGAAGGAAGCAGUUCGUAGCGAGAUGGAUUCCAUCUUGGCGAAUGAAACUUGGGAGAUAACUGAUCGUCCUUAUGGGUGCAAACCUAUAGGAUGCAAAUGGGUAUUCAAGAAGAAGCUUAGGCCUGAUGGUACUAUUGAAAAGUACAAGGCUCGGCUCGUGGCUAAGGGUUAUACCCAAAAGGAAGGUGAAGAUUUCUUUGAUACUUACUCACCUGUGGCUCGACUGACCACUAUUCGAGUUCUACUUUCACUAGCUGCCUCACAUGGUCUUCUCGUUCAUCAAAUAGAUGUUAAGACUGCUUUCCUGAAUGGAGAGUUGAAUGAGGAAAUUUAUAUGGAACAACCAGAUGGGUUUGUAAUAGAUGGUCAGGAAGGGAAAGUGUGCAAAUUGUUGAAGUCUUUGUACGGACUCAAGCAAGCACCCAAACAGUGGCAUGAGAAGUUCGAAAGAACUUUAACAGCUGCAGGCUUUGUUGUGAACGAAGCUGACAAAUGUGUGUACUAUCGCCAUGGUGGGGGCGAGGGAGUUAUGCUUUGCUUGUAUGUUGAUGACAUACUGAUUUUUGGAACAAAUCUGAAUGUUAUUAAGGAGGUCAAGGAUUUCCUAUCUCGCUGUUUUGAGAUGAAAGAUUUAGGAGUGGCUGAUGUCAUUCUGAACAUCAAGUUGUUGAGAGAUGAUGAUGGUGGGAUUACAUUGCUUCAAUCUCACUAUGUGGAAAAGAUCUUGAGUCGCUUUGGCUAUAGUGACUGCAAGCCCUCUCCAACACCAUAUGAUGCUAGCGUGCUGCUUCGAAAGAAUCGAAGAAUUGCUAGAGAUCAAUUGAAGUAUUCUCAGAUUAUUGGCUCGCUUAUGUACUUAGCCAGUGCUACAAGACCUGACAUCUCUUUUGCUGUUAGCAAGCUGAGCCGGUUUGUCUCAAAACUGGGAGAAGUGCAUUGGUAA
This 1254-nucleotide ribosomal RNA is filed under the name Triticum aestivum (bread wheat). RNAcentral describes it as "partial small subunit ribosomal RNA". The record is from RNAcentral. Lineage: Eukaryota; Viridiplantae; Streptophyta; Magnoliopsida; Poales; Poaceae.